Molecule: ribosomal RNA, 484 nt
Filed under: uncultured bacterium
Lineage: Bacteria
Description: bacterial SSU rRNA
Rfam family: Bacterial small subunit ribosomal RNA
Source: RNAcentral
AGAGUUUGAUUAUGGCUCAGGAUGAAUGCUGGCGGCAUGCCUAAUACAUGCAAGUCGAGCGGUAACAGGACUAGCUUGCUAGUUGCUGACGAGCGGCGGACGGCUGAGUAACGCAUGGGAACGCACCCCAAACUGAGGGAUAACUAGUCGAAAGAUUAGCUAAUACCGCAUGUGAUCUUCGGAUUAAAGCUUUCGGGCGGUUUGGGAGCGGCCUGUGUACGAUUAGCUAGUUGGUGAGGUAAUGGCUCACCAAGGCGACGAUCGUUAGAUGGUUUGAGAGGAUGAUCAUCCAGACUGGAACUGAGACACGGUCCAGACUCCUACGGGAGGCAGCAGUAGGGAAUCUUUCACAAUGGGCGAAAGCCUGAUGGGAAGCAAUGCCGCGUGCAGGACGAAGGCCUUCGGGUUGUAAACUGCUUUUAUAAGCGAGGAAUAUGACGGUAACUUAUGAAUAAGGAUCGGCUAACUACGUGCCAGCCGCUGC